GACGAACGCUGGCGGCGUGCCUAAUACAUGCAAGUAGAACGCUGAAGAGAGGAGCUUGCUCUUCUUGGAUGAGUUGCGAACGGGUGAGUAACGCGUAGGUAACCUGCCUUGUAGCGGGGGAUAACUAUUGGAAACGAUAGCUAAUACCGCAUAACAAUGGAUGACACAUGUCAUUUAUUUGAAAGGGGCAAUUGCUCCACUACAAGAUGGACCUGCGUUGUAUUAGCUAGUAGGUGAGGUAACGGCUCACCUAGGCGACGAUACAUAGCCGACCUGAGAGGGUGAUCGGCCACACUGGGACUGAGACACGGCCCAGACUCCUACGGGAGGCAGCAGUAGGGAAUCUUCGGCAAUGGGGGCAACCCUGACCGAGCAACGCCGCGUGAGUGAAGAAGGUUUUCGGAUCGUAAAGCUCUGUUGUAAGUCAAGAACGAGUGUGAGAGUGGAAAGUGCACACUGUGACGGUAGCUUACCAGAAAGGGACGGCGAACUACGG
Molecule: ribosomal RNA, 496 nt
Filed under: uncultured bacterium
Lineage: Bacteria
Description: partial 16S ribosomal RNA
Rfam family: Bacterial small subunit ribosomal RNA
Source: RNAcentral